GGGGUUGUGACUCAGUGAUAGAGUGCUCACCUAGCAUGCGUGAGGCACUGGGUUUGAUCCUCAGCACCACA
Molecule: transfer RNA, 71 nt
Filed under: Marmota monax (woodchuck)
Lineage: Eukaryota; Metazoa; Chordata; Mammalia; Rodentia; Sciuridae
Description: tRNA.Ala
Source: RNAcentral